RNAcentral lists this ribosomal RNA (567 nucleotides) under Bacillus subtilis. RNAcentral's name for it is "bacterial SSU rRNA". It matches the Rfam family "Bacterial small subunit ribosomal RNA", at positions 245 to 803 of the family's 1533-position model. Lineage: Bacteria; Bacillati; Bacillota; Bacilli; Caryophanales; Bacillaceae. The record is from RNAcentral.
CUAGUUGGUGAGGUAACGGCUCACCAAGGCAACGAUGCGUAGCCGACCUGAGAGGGUGAUCGGCCACACUGGGACUGAGACACGGCCCAGACUCCUACGGGAGGCAGCAGUAGGGAAUCUUCCGCAAUGGACGAAAGUCUGACGGAGCAACGCCGCGUGAGUGAUGAAGGUUUUCGGAUCGUAAAGCUCUGUUGUUAGGGAAGAACAAGUACCGUUCGAAUAGGGCGGUACCUUGACGGUACCUAACCAGAAAGCCACGGCUAACUACGUGCCAGCAGCCGCGGUAAUACGUAGGUGGCAAGCGUUGUCCGGAAUUAUUGGGCGUAAAGGGCUCGCAGGCGGUUUCUUAAGUCUGAUGUGAAAGCCCCCGGCUCAACCGGGGAGGGUCAUUGGAAACUGGGGAACUUGAGUGCAGAAGAGGAGAGUGGAAUUCCACGUGUAGCGGUGAAAUGCGUAGAGAUGUGGAGGAACACCAGUGGCGAAAGCGACUCUCUGGUCUGUAACUGACGCUGAGGAGCGAAAGCGUGGGGAGCGAACAGGAUUAGAUACCCUGGUAGUCCACGCCGU